AUGCGAUGAUGAUAAAG
RNAcentral lists this small RNA (17 nucleotides) under Arabidopsis thaliana (thale cress). RNAcentral describes it as "ATSL125640". Lineage: Eukaryota; Viridiplantae; Streptophyta; Magnoliopsida; Brassicales; Brassicaceae. The record is from RNAcentral.